Non-coding RNA from Phrynosoma platyrhinos (Desert horned lizard), 71 nucleotides. Lineage: Eukaryota; Metazoa; Chordata; Lepidosauria; Squamata; Phrynosomatidae. The record is from the annotation of a GenBank genome assembly.
GCCAGUGUGGCACAGUGGUGUGAGCUUUACACCACGACUCUGGAGACCAGGGUUUGAUUCCCAGCUCGGCA